Long non-coding RNA from Alosa sapidissima (American shad), 1607 nucleotides. RefSeq lists it as uncharacterized. The record is from RefSeq and is a predicted model, not a curated record. The transcript has 7 exons. NCBI's taxonomy places the organism in Eukaryota, Metazoa, Chordata, Actinopteri, Clupeiformes, Clupeidae.
GGAAACCCAUGUAUAGGCCUAACUCUUCACGGUCUUAGCGUGGCGCUUGUGGGUAAGGUAGCCUAAAUAUGAGAAAAGUGGACAGAACAUUUCGUGGGAAGAAGACAUCUAAGUGGUGCUAAAUGAGUGUCAAAUCAAAGCUCCCAAGACGCUGUGGUGAAAGCAACGGACUUAGGUGAAAGGCAGCAUGGCCGGUUCUCUAGGUCUAGGAGACAUUGAACGGGCGGUCAUUGCAGGUGUGGGUCCAGUCCACAACAUCAAUGCUAAGUUAAGUUGUUUCAAUUUUAGUUCUUUGUGCAUACUGGAGGGGGUUAGCCACUGUUAGCUAACCCAGCCAGUAAGCUGUGUGACGGAUGCUAGCUAAAGUUUUGCUUGUGCUUUGCUUUCACCACAGCGUCUUGGUGUUGGUACUAUGUGCCAGACGUGCAACAAAAACCCCACCAAGAGGUCACACGUUUGAGUCCUGCAGGACUAUUUGAAAGGAACAGGUGUUGAGGUCAGUGCUGUCAGGGCAGCUCUGAAGGGAGCCAUCUACGCAGAUACCCACAAGCAAGCAGUGUCCACCAGACACAUUGUGUUUGACCUCCCCAGCGACACGAAGCACGCCGGGGGCAGCUGCAAAGGCUCUCCGCCAGGAGUUGCAGGCAAUCACCAUGCCACUGACUCCUGACCUGGUGUGUUUUAUGGCACCAAGCAAUAGUCUCACUUGGAGUCGCACCAUUGAAGAGGCCAGGAAGGAUUUUGAGGACCUUGUCAGAAGUGCAAUACACCGCUGGACAAGGGUUUUUGUAUUGGACUUCCAAUCCCGGCUUACGGAAGAUGCUGACUAUCAGGCACUCAUGCAUGCAGAGUUCCAUAGAGUGGCCACACGCCUUGGUGUGAGCACCUGAACCCCCCAACACCACCUCCAGCCAUUGUAUCAAGGCUUGUGGUCAGAUGGCCACUUUCUGCCUCCAAGGCCCGCAACCCGGUGCUAUGGUCAGGGCUGUGUGUGGUGUGAAAAAGAUGACGGCGCAGACACAAUUUGAGGAGGUCUACAGGAUAUGCUCUGCCAUCCCAAAGCAUUAACUGGGCAGAGAGAAGAAUCCACUUGGGCAAGCCAGGAGAAAGAGAAGGAAAGGCGUAAGACCAGACAGUCAGGCCUGGUAGGAAGGCAAGAGGUACUAUAAAAAAAGCUGCAUUGUUUCUGAGAGACCAGGUCGAUCUGUCUGUUCUAUCUAUAUCAGUUCCACUAUGUACUGCCACUGUAUUUGCCCACCUGCUGCCUACACUUUUGUUAUCAGCCAAAGUGUACCCAAGCAAUUUUAGCCAGAUGGGAACAUCCAAAAUGACAUGCACCAGUUGUGAAGGAACAGCUGGAUGAGGGAAGUAAGGUCUAAUGGCUUUUAUGUCAAGUUCCACCUAGAACUUGAAGCAUGUCCAAAUCAUAGAACCAACUGCAUGACCGUAACCUCUGUCUCACUGAGGCCGUGAAGACACUCACUGAUUAUAUUGCUUCCUUACCAGACUUGACAGGCUGGUAAGGAAGGCUGGCUCUGUAGUGGGAGCUGAACUGGAGUGCAUCUCUUCAAUAUCUGACAAAAGGACCCUAAACAAACUGAUCAACA